Small nucleolar RNA from Colobus angolensis palliatus, 231 nucleotides. Its record names the gene SNORA73. It matches the Rfam family "Small nucleolar RNA SNORA73 family". From Rfam's summary of the family: U17 (SNORA73A and SNORA73B) also known as E1 belongs to the H/ACA class of small nucleolar RNAs (snoRNAs). Vertebrate U17 is intron-encoded and ranges in length from 200-230 nucleotides, longer than most snoRNAs. The record is from Ensembl. NCBI's taxonomy places the organism in Eukaryota, Metazoa, Chordata, Mammalia, Primates, Cercopithecidae.
CUAAUGUGGAUACACCCAGGAAGUCACUCUCUCCCCAGGCUGUGUCCAAGUGGCAUAGGGGAGCAUAGGGCUCUGUCCCCAGGAUGUACAGUCCCUUUCCAUGACAUUGGAGAUGAAGCUGGGCCUCAACUAUUGGAGAUGAAGCUGGGCCUCAACUCUGCACCGGCAUAUUCCUACAGCUCAGAGUCCUGUGGAUAAUGACGGAGGAGACAAACCAUGCAGAAAACAGCC